GGUUAAGCGACUAAGCGUACACGGUGGAUGCCCUGGCAGUCAGAGGCGAUGAAGGGCGUGCUAAUCUGCGAUAAGCGCCGGUAAGGUGAUAUGAACCGUUAUAACCGGCGAUACCCGAAUGGGGAAACCCAGUGUGACUCGUCACACUAUCAUUAACUGAAUCCAUAGGUUAAUGAGGCGAACCGGGGGAACUGAAACAUCUAAGUACCCCGAGGAAAAGAAAUCAACCGAGAUUCCCCCAGUAGCGGCGAGCGAACGGGGAGGAGCCCAGAGCCUGAAUCAGCAUGUGUGUUAGUGGAAGCGUCUGGAAAGGCGCGCGAUACAGGGUGACAGCCCCGUACACAAAAGCGCAUGUGCUGUGAGCUCGAUGAGUAGGGCGGGACACGUGGUAUCCUGUCUGAAUAUGGGGGGACCAUCCUCCAAGGCUAAAUACUCCUGACUGACCGAUAGUGAACCAGUACCGUGAGGGAAAGGCGAAAAGAACCCCGGCGAGGGGAGUGAAAAAGAACCUGAAACCGUGUACGUACAAGCAGUGGGAGCCCCACCACUAAGCCAGUGGUGAACUCCACAUACGCAUCCUUUGCUGAGGAUACGGUUAACGGAGCGAAAGCGACGUUCAACCUCAAAAGAAGCAGAGGGGGCUUAGUGGUGGGGUGACUGCGUACCUUUUGUAUAAUGGGUCAGCGACUUAUAUUCUGUAGCAAGGUUAACCGAAUAGGGGAGCCGGAGGGAAACCGAGUCUUAACCGGGCGUUAAGUUGCAGGGUAUAGACCCGAAACCCGGUGAUCUAGCCAUGGGCAGGUUGAAGGUUGGGUAACACUAACUGGAGGACCGAACCGACUAAUGUUGAAAAAUUAGCGGAUGACCUGUGGCUGGGGGUGAAAGGCCAAUCAAACCGGGAGAUAGCUGGUUCUCCCCGAAAGCUAUUUAGGUAGCGCCUCGUGAAUUCAUCUCCGGGGGUAGAGCACUGUUUCGGCUAGGGGGCCAUCCCGGCUUACCAACCCGAUGCAAACUGCGAAUACCGGAGAAUGUUAUCACGGGAGACACACGGCGGGUGCUAACGUCCGUCGUGAAGAGGGAAACAACCCAGACCGCCAGCUAAGGUCCCAAAGUCAUGGUUAAGUGGGAAACGAUGUGGGAAGGCCCAGACAGCCAGGAUGUUGGCUUAGAAGCAGCCAUCAUUUAAAGAAAGCGUAAUAGCUCACUGGUCGAGUCGGCCUGCGCGGAAGAUGUAACGGGGCUAAACCAUGCACCGAAGCUGCGGCAGCGACACUGAUGCGUUGUUGGGUAGGGGAGCGUUCUGUAAGCCUGUGAAGGUGGCCUGUGAGGGUUGCUGGAGGUAUCAGAAGUGCGAAUGCUGACAUAAGUAACGAUAAAGCGGGUGAAAAGCCCGCUCGCCGGAAGACCAAGGGUUCCUGUCCAACGUUAAUCGGGGCAGGGUGAGUCGACCCCUAAGGCGAGGCCGAAAGGCGUAGUCGAUGGGAAACGGGUUAAUAUUCCCGUACUUGGUGUUACUGCGAAGGGGGGACGGAGAAGGCUAUGUUGGCCGGGCGACGGUUGUCCCGGUUUAAGCGUGUAGGUGUGUGUUCCAGGUAAAUCCGGUUCACUUUAACACUGAGGCGUGAUGACGAGGCACUACGGUGCUGAAGCAACAAAUGCCCUGCUUCCAGGAAAAGCCUCUAAGCAUCAGGUAACAUCAAAUCGUACCCCAAACCGACACAGGUGGUCAGGUAGAGAAUACCAAGGCGCUUGAGAGAACUCGGGUGAAGGAACUAGGCAAAAUGGUGCCGUAACUUCGGGAGAAGGCACGCUGACACGUAGGUGAAGUGAUUUACUCAUGGAGCUGAAGUCAGUCGAAGAUACCAGCUGGCUGCAACUGUUUAUUAAAAACACAGCACUGUGCAAACACGAAAGUGGACGUAUACGGUGUGACGCCUGCCCGGUGCCGGAAGGUUAAUUGAUGGGGUUAUCCGUAAGGAGAAGCUCCUGAUCGAAGCCCCGGUAAACGGCGGCCGUAACUAUAACGGUCCUAAGGUAGCGAAAUUCCUUGUCGGGUAAGUUCCGACCUGCACGAAUGGCGUAAUGAUGGCCAGGCUGUCUCCACCCGAGACUCAGUGAAAUUGAACUCGCUGUGAAGAUGCAGUGUACCCGCGGCAAGACGGAAAGACCCCGUGAACCUUUACUAUAGCUUGACACUGAACACUGGUCCUUGAUGUGCAGGAUAGGUGGGAGGCUUUGAAGCGCGGACGCCAGUUCGUGUGGAGCCAUCCUUGAAAUACCACCCUUUAAUGGCUGGUGUUCUAACGUAGACCCGUGAUCCGGGUUGCGGACAGUGUCUGGUGGGUAGUUUGACUGGGGCGGUCUCCUCCUAAAGAGUAACGGAGGAGCACGAAGGUUAGCUAAUCCUGGUCGGACAUCAGGAGGUUAGUGCAAAGGCAUAAGCUAGCUUGACUGCGAGCGUGACGGCGCGAGCAGGUGCGAAAGCAGGUCUUAGUGAUCCGGUGGUUCUGAAUGGAAGGGCCAUCGCUCAACGGAUAAAAGGUACUCCGGGGAUAACAGGCUGAUACCGCCCAAGAGUUCAUAUCGACGGCGGUGUUUGGCACCUCGAUGUCGGCUCAUCACAUCCUGGGGCUGAAGUAGGUCCCAAGGGUAUGGCUGUUCGCCAUUUAAAGUGGUACGCGAGCUGGGUUUAGAACGUCGUGAGACAGUUCGGUCCCUAUCUGCCGUGGGCGCUGGAGAACUGAGGGGGGCUGCUCCUAGUACGAGAGGACCGGAGUGGACGCAUCACUGGUGUUCGGGUUGUCAUGCCAAUGGCACUGCCCGGUAGCUAAAUGCGGAAGAGAUAAGUGCUGAAAGCAUCUAAGCACGAAACUUGCCCCGAGAUGAGUUCUCCCUGAGACUUAGAGUCUCCUGAAGGAACGUUGAAGACGACGACGUUGAUAGGCCGGGUGUGUAAGCGCAGCGAUGCGUUGAGCUAACCGGUACUAAUGAACCGUGAGGCUUAACCUU
Molecule: ribosomal RNA, 3009 nt
Filed under: Salmonella enterica subsp. enterica
Lineage: Bacteria; Pseudomonadati; Pseudomonadota; Gammaproteobacteria; Enterobacterales; Enterobacteriaceae
Description: 23S ribosomal RNA
Rfam family: Bacterial large subunit ribosomal RNA
Source: RNAcentral